GCACCAUUAGUUUAGCGGCAGAAUGCGACCUUGCCAAGGUCGUGACCCGAGUUCAACUCUCGGAUGGUGCA
Molecule: transfer RNA, 71 nt
Filed under: Candidatus Pacearchaeota archaeon
Lineage: Archaea; Nanobdellati
Description: tRNA-Gly
Rfam family: tRNA
About the family: Transfer RNA (tRNA) molecules are approximately 80 nucleotides in length.
Source: RNAcentral